AUUAUUAAUGACAGUAUCCUACAUAGAGAUUCGUGUAACCUAUAGCAUAUAUGUCAUAGUUAGUUAAUUUAAAGUUGUGCAAAAAUGCCAUUACAACGCCACGUUCAUGUUCCGAAUUCACCGGCGAACAAAAGAUUUUUUCGGAAAGCUCUUUUCCACUUGGCCAAAUAAUUGAAAGCCAGGAACAGCGUUACCAGAGAAACACUUAAAAGCUCUUCAUCGUUACUGUGGUAACGCCUAACUGCAUCAACAACGGGUUAUCCGUAGGCUAUAAAAAGCACACAACGCCAAAGCACAAAAACGACAGCUGAACGCAACUGAAGCGAAUGUAAGGGGUGAUAAUUCCUCGUGUAUUUCAUCCUGAAGGUCCGACGAAUUUAAUCCUGAAAGGGAGAUACAACAUAACUCAGACUAGCAGGUGUCAUCAGUGAGACAUGCACCUCUCCUCCAUUUGGCACCAGGUCUCAUAUAGGAUGUAAAUUAGACAUGGGAUCACAGGGGACUGAAAACCUGGAGAAGUCACCAAGCUGGUGAGGUUGUGCAAGACCUGGGGCUGGACUUUCUGUGACUGGGGAUUAGGAGUCACUCUUCUGUCUCUUCUAAAACAGAGGAGCGGCAAUAAAGCAUUUUGACCAGUUGCUCAUCAUAUUCCCGACUACAGCCCGACUCCAGGCAGGACAUAGCACAGAAAUACAAAGCACCCUGGGAGGGUGGGGGGUGGUGGGGGUGGAUUCUAUUUUAAACACUCAAAGGAAUGGAGUUUCUGUGGACGUCAGACGUUUCAUAUUUUGUUUGGGUCUUUUUUUUGCCCUUGAGGAAAGGAGAAAAAUGAAAUACACCCUGAGGAACUUUUUUUUUUCAUCAAAGCAGUUUCUCUGGUACCUUCACCUGGAAAAAAGAAACGUUGUUAGAUGAUAGCAACAUGCAAGAUCUUUCUUAUUUUCGGUUAAAAAAAUGUUGUCAUUAAUAAACCCGGGAGGUAGAAUGCCCUGUAUUACUUUAUCUCGGCAUACUGAAAUGUGGAUAUCCUCAUGCAGAUUUUAGUCCGUUUUUUUAGUUUUGGACCGAUCCCACCUACAGUACAUCGAUUUGAUGAAAUUCCUAUAAUGCUGAAGGAAGUGAAUUAUCAGGGGAGUAAACCUUUUCUAAAUGGUUAAAAAA
Molecule: long non-coding RNA, 1161 nt
Organism: Anguilla anguilla (European eel)
Lineage: Eukaryota; Metazoa; Chordata; Actinopteri; Anguilliformes; Anguillidae
Exons: 3
Source: RefSeq, a predicted model, not a curated record